This 136-nucleotide small nucleolar RNA is filed under the name Bombyx mori (domestic silkworm). Its description in RNAcentral is "Bm_80". Lineage: Eukaryota; Metazoa; Arthropoda; Insecta; Lepidoptera; Bombycidae. The record is from RNAcentral.
AUCAUCCAAAUUCAAUUUAUUUCUUGUUGUUUUUACACUGUAAUAAGAAAUUGAAUUUGGAAAUAUCAAAAUAUUGUCUAGGUGAGGUUCCUGUUACUUAUUGACAGUAAACCUCAAUCCGGCAACAAACAUGUUU